GAUGAACGCUAGCUACAGGCUUAACACAUGCAAGUCGCGGGGCAGCAUGGGGGUUGCUUGCAAUCCCCGAUGGCGACCGGCGCACGGGUGAGUAACGCGUAUCCAACCUGCCCUUCACCACGGGAUAACCCGGCGAAAGUCGGACUAAUACCGUAUGUUGUCCAUUGACGGCAUCCGAUUUGGACGAAAGGUUUGGCGGUGAAGGAUGGGGAUGCGUCCGAUUAGCUGGACGGCGGGGUGACGGCCCACCGUGGCGACGAUCGGUAGGGGUUCUGAGAGGAAGGUCCCCCACACUGGAACGGAGACACGGUCCAGAGUCCUACGGGAGGCAGCAGUGAGGAAUCUUGGUCAAUGGGCGUAAGCCUGAACCGGCCAAGUAGCGUGCAGGAUGACGGCCCUAUGGGUUGUAAACUGCUUUUAUGCGGGGAUAAAGUGGCGCGCGUGUGGGUUUUUGCAGGUACCGCAUGAAUAAGGACCGGCUAAUUCCGUG
This 490-nucleotide ribosomal RNA is filed under the name uncultured bacterium. Its description in RNAcentral is "partial 16S ribosomal RNA". It matches the Rfam family "Bacterial small subunit ribosomal RNA", at positions 28 to 507 of the family's 1533-position model. The record is from RNAcentral.